RNAcentral lists this ribosomal RNA (645 nucleotides) under uncultured Bacilli bacterium. RNAcentral's name for it is "bacterial SSU rRNA". It matches the Rfam family "Bacterial small subunit ribosomal RNA", at positions 78 to 709 of the family's 1533-position model. Lineage: Bacteria; Bacillati; Bacillota; Bacilli. The record is from RNAcentral.
CUCAAUUGGAAAGAGGAGUGGCGGACGGGUAAGUAACACGUGGGUAACCUACCCAUCAGAGGGGGAUAACACUUGGAAACAGGUGCUAAUACCGCAUAACAGUUUAUGCCGCAUGGCAUAAGAGUGAAAGGCGCUUUCGGGUGUCGCUGAUGGAUGGACCCGCGGUGCAUUAGCUAGUUGGUGAGGUAACGGCUCACCAAGGCCACGAUGCAUAGCCGACCUGAGAGGGUGAUCGGCCACACUGGGACUGAGACACGGCCCAGACUCCUACGGGAGGCAGCAGUAGGGAAUCUUCGGCAAUGGACGAAAGUCUGACCGAGCAACGCCGCGUGAGUGAAGAAGGUUUUCGGAUCGUAAAACUCUGUUGUUAGAGAAGAACAAGGACGUUAGUAACUGAACGUCCCCUGACGGUAUCUAACCAGAAAGCCACGGCUAACUACGUGCCAGCAGCCGCGGUAAUACGUAGGUGGCAAGCGUUGUCCGGAUUUAUUGGGCGUAAAGCGAGCGCAGGCGGUUUCUUAAGUCUGAUGUGAAAGCCCCCGGCUCAACCGGGGAGGGUCAUUGGAAACUGGGAGACUUGAGUGCAGAAGAGGAGAGUGGAAUUCCAUGUGUAGCGGUGAAAUGCGUAGAUAUAUGGAGGAACAC